GAUCAACGCUGGCGGCGCACAUAAGACAUGCAAGUUGAACGGACUUAAUCGAAAUAUUUCUAUUUUGAAGCGGUUAGUGGCGGACUGGUGAGUAACGCGUAAGGAACCUGCCUAUUAGAGGGGAAUAACAGUGAGAAAUCAUUGCUAAUACCGCAUAUGCCAUAGAUAUCACAUGAUAACAGUGGGAAAGGAGCAAUCCGCUAAUAGAUGGCCUUGCGUCUGAUUAGAUAGUUGGUGGGGUAACGGCCUACCAAGUCGACGAUCAGUAGCCGGACUGAGAGGUUGAACGGCCACAUUGGGACUGAGAUACGGCCCAGACUCCUACGGGAGACAGCAGUCGGGAAUAUUGCGCAAUGGAGGAAACUCUGACGCAGUGACGCCGCGUAGAGGAAGAAGGUUUUCGGAUUGUAAACUAUUGUCGUUAGGGAAGAGAAAGGACAGUACCUAAGGAGGAAGCUCCGGCUAACUACGUG
This 473-nucleotide ribosomal RNA is filed under the name uncultured bacterium. RNAcentral's name for it is "partial 16S ribosomal RNA". It matches the Rfam family "Bacterial small subunit ribosomal RNA", at positions 28 to 507 of the family's 1533-position model. The record is from RNAcentral.